UGAUGACGAGACGCUAAGGCGUUGAAGCAGUGUAUGUCAGACUUCCAAGAAAAGCUCGCAAUGUCACAAAUAAAAAUGCCUGUACCAUAACCGACACAGGUGGGUAGGUAGAGUAUACUAAGGGGCGCGAGAUAACUCUCUCUAAGGAACUCGGCAAAAUGACUCCGUAACUUCGGGAGAAGGAGUGCCUUAUUUAUAAGGUUGCAAUAACAAGAUCCAAGCAACUGUUUAUCAAAAACACAGGUCUCCGCUAAGUCGUAAGACGAUGUAUGGGGGCUGACGCCUGCCCAGUGCCAGAAGGUUAAAGAAGUUGGUUAGUGUAUGCGAAGCUGAUGACUGAAGCCCUGGUGAACGGCGGCCGUAACUAUAACGGUCCUAAGGUAGCGAAAUUCCUUGUCGGGUAAGUUCCGACCCGCACGAAAGGCGUAAUGAUUUGGAUACUGUCUCGGAGAGAGGCUCGGUGAAAUAGACUUGUCUGUGAAGAUGCGGACUACCUGCACCAGGACAGAAAGACCCUAUGAAGCUUUACUGUAACUUGAAAUUGGAAUUGGACUUUGCUUGCGCAGUAUAGGUGGGAAGCGUUGAAAAUAUUCUUGCGGGAGUAUUGGAGCUAUCAGUGAGAUACCACUCUUGUAAUGUUAGAUUUCUAACUUUGAACCAUAAUCUGGUCAAAGAACAGUUUCAGGUGGGCAGUUUGACUGGGGCGGUCGCCUCCCAAAUGGUAAUGGAGGCGUACAAAGGUUUCCUCUGAACGGAUAGAAAUCGUAUCUAGAGUGUAAAGGCAUAAGGAAGCUUGACUGUGAGACCUACAAGUCGAGCAGGGACGAAAGUCGGUCUUAGUGAUCUGACGGUACUGAGUGGAAAGGCCGUCACUCAACGGAUAAAAGUUACUCUAGGAUAACAGGCUGAUCUCCCCCAAGAGUUCACAUCGACGGGGAGGUUUGGCACCUCGAUGUCGGCUCAUCGCAUCCUGGGGCGGUAGUACGUCCCAAGGGUUGGGCUGUUCGCCCAUGAAAGCGGUACGCGAGCUGGGUUCAGAACGUCGUGAGACAGUUCGGUCCAUAUCCGGUGUAGGCGCUAGAAUAUUGAGAGGAGCCUUCUUUAGUACGAGAGGACCGAGAAGGACACACCGCUGGUGUACCAGUUAUCGUGCCAACGGUAAACGCUGGGUAGCUAUGUGUGGAGUGGAUAACCGCUGAAAGCAUCUAAGUGGGAAGCCCACCUCGAGAUGAGUAUUC
This 1238-nucleotide ribosomal RNA is filed under the name metagenome. RNAcentral's name for it is "bacterial LSU rRNA". It matches the Rfam family "Bacterial large subunit ribosomal RNA", at positions 1564 to 2813 of the family's 2925-position model. The record is from RNAcentral.